GACGAACGCCGGCGGCGUGCUUAACACAUGCAAGUCGAACGGAAAGGCCCUGCUUUUGUGGGGUGCUCGAGUGGCGAACGGGUGAGUAACACGUGAGUAACCUGCCCUUGACUUUGGGAUAACUUCAGGAAACUGGGGCUAAUACCGGAUAGGAGCUCCUGCUGCAUGGUGGGGGUUGGAAAGUUUCGGCGGUUGGGGAUGGACUCGCGGCUUAUCAGCUUGUUGGUGGGGUAGUGGCUUACCAAGGCUUUGACGGGUAGCCGGCCUGAGAGGGUGACCGGCCACAUUGGGACUGAGAUACGGCCCAGACUCCUACGGGAGGCAGCAGUGGGGAAUAUUGCACAAUGGGCGGAAGCCUGAUGCAGCAACGCCGCGUGAGGGAUGACGGCCUUCGGGUUGUAAACCGCUUUCGCCUGUGACGAAGCGUGAGUGACGGUAAUGGGUAAAGAAGCACCGGCUAACUACGUG
Molecule: ribosomal RNA, 468 nt
Filed under: uncultured bacterium
Lineage: Bacteria
Description: partial 16S ribosomal RNA
Rfam family: Bacterial small subunit ribosomal RNA
Source: RNAcentral